CCCAAAUGUGAUUGUAGUUAAUACUGUGAUUUUCUGGUAACGUGGUGGCCGUGUGUUUGAUCUCACAGCCUGCCCCUGUGGCCUCUUCACUCCCAUCCAGGUCGAUGCCAACCUAGCUGCCUCUCACCACUUCACUUGUCUUCAUGGGGGAACUUCUGGGCCCCGACCUGCAGCCCACCAGCCAUGGAGACCCAGGCCAUGUCCUCCGGUGAUCCAUCUCCUCGCAUCCCAUGCCUCCUGGGCACCACUGUUCCUGCUUCAUGUUGCAGAUGGCAGACUGCCCUGGAAGGUCCCAGCAGCAUGUGCUCAGCUGAUGGUUUGGGCUCCCCAUACCUAACCCAGUGCCUCUAAAGCCCCUGAGGCCCGCUUUGAGAGAUGCGGGACUUAGGGGGUGGGGAUCAUACUCCUUGUCCCCAAAUUUCUCCCUCUCUCUAUCUUCCUUCUUCUCUCCAUUCAUCAGGCGAAUGGGCGAGACCUCUUUCAGGUAGAACUCCCGGACAAGGUUUGCCAGACUUGCCUUCUGAAAUGCUAAAGAAAGGUAGAAAGAGGGAUUGAGGAAAACCCUUUCUCUCCUAACAAAGCCUUUCUGUAGCUUUGCUAAUCCUAUUGUAGAUGCUCACGUUGAACCUGUACCUUUCUCUUGGUGUUUACUUUCACAUCCUAGUAUUCCACCCACAACACUCCUCCACUCAAUAGGAAGAAGGUCAUUUACGGAGAAGUGCAUAAAACAAAAGCACGUAACAUAUAACAUGAUUGAACAUGAUCACUUUCCCCUGCUGUGGUCAUGUGCAUCCUACACGGAGUUGCCUCUGCUGGAGGUAGCUCCAGGGCGGGAAGGGCUCCAUUCCUUUUCACGGCGCCAGGCCUCUCCCUUUCCCUGAUUGUUUGGCUGAAGAGAGUCUGGAAAAUCUCCAGAAAAUUAAAACUAAUCUGAAACAGGCUGUAAGUGGCAUGGGAGAAGCGGCAGGUGUGGACACGGGCAACCUUGCCGUGAGAUGGAGGUCUCUGAGUGUGGAAAGCGAGUGAUCUGCAGACGGACAGUGCCCACGGGGCACUCGGCCUUCGAGGGCAGCGUGGGAACAUGCGAAGAACAGGACCCCAGCCUCCAGUUGCAACCAGAAUCCCCCUGUGGCUCCCAAUAUCCCUGGCCUCUCGAUGCUACAACAGUGGCUGUGUUUUUCUGCAGUUCAGUAUACCUAGAAUUGUGCAGGAAAAUUCCUCAAGGUAUUUCUCUAUUUCAUGGUUACCUACCUCUCUUGGAAGGGUGGAAGAGUGGGAGAAAGGAUGGAGAAGAAAAACUCAUAUUUACAGAAUACCCACUGUGUAUUUAACAGCAAAUAUUUAUUGAGCACCUCUAGAUAUUGGGCCUUUGAACAUUUCAUGCCAUUCUUCCAAGAACCUUACUGGGAGGGUAUCCUCCUGCUCAUGUUGUCAGCGAGCACUCUGGUAGGUGCUCAUUUAUUCCUGCAUAUGCAUUAGAAAGCAGGUUAUUCUUUAAGGUUUUAUGAUGGGUGGUUCUUUCUCAGCAUUGUGUGCAUUUGAUUCACAGUUGGCCGACAGAUAAUGAAAUUUUCCAAUACUCUGAUGUAAGCCUUGGAAUUAUGACUGCGUGUGGGGUUGGACAUUGUCUCGAGUUCAGCACCAAAGGAUGUUUACCUGCUUGUGGAUGCAGUAAAGUCUGCCUCCAGUCACAGGCCCCAGUGCUUUCUAUACCUGGGUCUUGAUGUAGAAAUAUAGAACAUGGAAUACUGGUUCAAACUGACAUCCAUUCUUCAUUCAUUCAUUCAUUCAUUCAACAAAAACGUAAUACGCUCUUGUUUGGCUAAACACUGGAAUUGCAGAAUCGAAAAUCCUUUGCCCCUGCCCUGAAGGAGCUCACAUGUUGCAUAGCAUUCCCAGGAUCAAAAGAUAGGUCCUGGCUGGUCACGGUGGCUCAUGCCUGUAAUCCCAGCACUUUGGGAGGUCAAGGCCGGUGAAUCGCCUGAGACCAGGAGUUUGAGAGCAGCCUAGGCAACAUGGUGAAACAAAAAUA
Molecule: long non-coding RNA, 2032 nt
Organism: Piliocolobus tephrosceles (Ugandan red Colobus)
Lineage: Eukaryota; Metazoa; Chordata; Mammalia; Primates; Cercopithecidae
Source: Ensembl